UAAGGCCUUUCGGGGUACACGAGCGGCGAACGGGUGAGUAACACGUGGGUGAUCUGCCCUGCACUUCGGGAUAAGCCUGGGAAACUGGGUCUAAUACCGGAUAUGACCUCCUGUUGCAUGACGUGGGGUGGAAAGAUUUAUCGGUGCAGGAUGGGCCCGCGGCCUAUCAGCUUGUUGGUGGGGUAAUGGCCUACCAAGGCGACGACGGGUAGCCGACCUGAGAGGGUGACCGGCCACACUGGGACUGAGACACGGCCCAGACUCCUACGGGAGGCAGCAGUGGGGAAUAUUGCACAAUGGGCGAAAGCCUGAUGCAGCGACGCCGCGUGAGGGAUGACGGCCUUCGGGUUGUAAACCUCUUUCAGCAGGGACGAAGCGCAAGUGACGGUACCUGCAGAAGAAGCACCGGCUAACUACGUGCCAGCAGCCGCGGUAAUACGUAGGGUGCAAGCGUUGUCCGGAAUUACUGGGCGUAAAGAGUUCGUAGGCGGUUUGUCGCGUCGUUUGUGAAAACCAGCAGCUCAACUGCUGGCUUGCAGGCGAUACGGGCAGACUUGAGUACUGCAGGGGAGACUGGAAUUCCUGGUGUAGCGGUGAAAUGCGCAGAUAUCAGGAGGAACACCGGUGGCGAAGGCGGGUCUCUGGGCAGUAACUGACGCUGAGGAACGAAAGCGUGGGUAGCGAACAGGAUUAGAUACCCUGGUAGUCCACGCCGUAAACGGUGG
RNAcentral lists this ribosomal RNA (725 nucleotides) under Rhodococcus sp. YIM 64529. RNAcentral's name for it is "bacterial SSU rRNA". It matches the Rfam family "Bacterial small subunit ribosomal RNA", at positions 70 to 812 of the family's 1533-position model. The record is from RNAcentral. Lineage: Bacteria; Bacillati; Actinomycetota; Actinomycetes; Mycobacteriales; Nocardiaceae.